GACAUUUGACAACACCUUGCCCAACCUUGACGUCGUUAAAGCGUGGUUGAAGUUGAGCCAGACUCUGACAGUUGGGAAUGCUAAAACUCUGACAUUGUUCGAAAUCUUUGUAGGAUAAUUGCUUCUCGGUUAUUUCCACUGGCUGCUUGAAAAAAAACUCCCCGUUUACGAGUUCAUGGAUGAAGUUUGCCAUACUUUAUGCAUGAUCAGCUGUAUUUGAAGCAGAUUUCAAGUCAUGCAAGCACUACCAGUUAGAGGAAAGCCACUUCUUUAUGUUGCUGAAAGGUGCUGUUGAUUUGUUCCUUUAAGAAGAUUGAUAGUAACUUGCAUUCAAUUUUUUCACUUAAAUUGUGUUUGAAAUUGGUUUACUUUAUUAAGUUGAAAGUUUGUUUUGAUGUCCGAAGACAUUGUGACAGCCCUUAACACAACAAGAGAUUCAAUAUUAUGAAAUGAAAGAUGAAAAUUGUAUAGCAGUUAGCGGCUGUAAUUUGAGUCAGCAUUCUCAGCAACAUAACCAAAAGAUUGUGGCGACAGUAUUUUUAUCAUGAAUGAAUGAGUAACGAAAUAUACAAAAUAAAAGUGAUACUAGAAUUA
Molecule: long non-coding RNA, 594 nt
Organism: Daphnia pulex (common water flea)
Lineage: Eukaryota; Metazoa; Arthropoda; Branchiopoda; Diplostraca; Daphniidae
Exons: 3
Source: RefSeq, a predicted model, not a curated record